This 103-nucleotide microRNA precursor is filed under the name Marmota monax (woodchuck). The record is from RNAcentral. Lineage: Eukaryota; Metazoa; Chordata; Mammalia; Rodentia; Sciuridae.
GGUGGGAUAGCUGGGUCAGAUGGUAGUUCCAUUGCAGGUUUUCUGAGGAAUCUCCAUACUGCUUUCCAGAGUGGAUGCACCAAUUUGCAGUCCCACCAGCAAU